This 280-nucleotide unclassified non-coding RNA is filed under the name Hevea brasiliensis (rubber tree). The record is from RNAcentral. Lineage: Eukaryota; Viridiplantae; Streptophyta; Magnoliopsida; Malpighiales; Euphorbiaceae.
GACCCCUCCCUCCCCUUCUCUCCCUAACACAUCUCUCUUUCCCUCAUCUCUUCUCUCCCUUUUCUCUACACUUUCCGACCAGUGAGGGUCAACCACCACUGACCCGCGACCAAGUGGCUUCAAGAGACGCCGGCGAGCCACCAACCAGCCGGUAGCAUCGCCAGAUACGGCUGUAAGAGAGGGAGAAAGAGAGAGAAAACGCGCACAAUGGGCCGUGACUUCCCGUCGCAAUUUCGGUUUCAUCCGACGUCCGAUUGAGGCGAUUCAGGUGGCGUUGGAA